This 1220-nucleotide long non-coding RNA is filed under the name Marmota monax (woodchuck). Lineage: Eukaryota; Metazoa; Chordata; Mammalia; Rodentia; Sciuridae. The record is from RNAcentral.
CUGGCUCCCUGGCUCUUCACCUUCAGCUGGGGCCGGUCCACAUGAGUAGCUCCCCCGAGGGCUCUCUCUUAGUUUGGAGAAGCUUCACAGAGCAAUUCAGCACCAUAGCAGAGGCUAUGGGCCAGCCAUGGGAAUCUGUGACAGGUGCCCACCAGCCUGUCCUUGAAACCUUUGGCCACCCCCAGAAGGAUUGUUUCCUCCCCCUUUAAGCAGGUGAGGAAAACUGGCUUGAGGCUGAGAAGUUACCUAAGAGCUGCAGUUAAGUAAUGGGUAGACCCUCUGAAGCCCAAGUGUGCUCCUCUGUUCACAUACCUCCAGUCUCUGCCAGCAGCAGGGAUGUGCUGCUUCUGAGGGCCCUCCCUAGGAAGUGCCCAUCGCCUGCAGAGUGGAUUUGGGAGAGGGCUGGUAUCACUGCCAGAGCAGGAGGCCCUGAUGGUGCCCAGGAGGUCAGGCAGCUGGGCACAAGUGCCCAAGGAGAGUGGAACCAAAUAAGACUGUUGAGCUUGGCCCGACCAGAGUGCCGUGCUGCUGAGGCUCAGCCUUGGUUAUUUAGGCAAGGACAACUAUCAUCCUUGCCUAAACUUGCUGAGGGGUCAACUUUGGGAUGAAGGGGUGAUUCCAGAGGCCCUUGGUCAAUUGUGUGUCCAGGAAUUCAGGGAUUCUGCUACAUCCCACCCUGAAGGCAGCCAUUACCCUCUCAGCUGGCCUCCUAGCCUGUCACAGAGACUGCAGGGGCUGCCCUCAUGGUACCUGCUAUAGCAGCCCACCCCUCAGACCACAGUCUGGUCAUCUACCUCCCAGGAAGCAAGAGGUUCACACAGUUACCCAGUCUGAAGACAGCCAGCUCUGCCCCUGGCUGAGGGGGGAUUUCCCAAGAAAUGGCUGCAUUUCUCCCUCCUGGGAGGGCUCAAUAUCCUCAAUCCCUGUGUAUAUCACCCAAGGAUCUUUUGCAGGGCCAGCUUGAAGAAUCUUAGCAGCCCUCACAAGGGGCCCCAUACUUGUAGAACAAGUGGGACAGGCUUGUCACUCAGAUCCCAAUCCACCAACAUUCAGGAAAUCACAUGCAAAGGGUAUGCCCACAGUCACAUUUCCCCAAAUGUCUGCUUGUUGGGGACAUGUGGGGUGCUCCUCCACAUGAACCCAUUUCCAGAACACUAUGACAGUGAAGUUUUCAUACUGUCAUCUUAAGUUGAGUGCUUUUCAAGAAAGCUUGUGCAAAG